Molecule: ribosomal RNA, 250 nt
Filed under: uncultured bacterium
Lineage: Bacteria
Description: partial 16S ribosomal RNA
Rfam family: Bacterial small subunit ribosomal RNA
Source: RNAcentral
GAUAAACGCUGGCGGCGUGCCUUACCAAUGCGAGUCGAACGAGGUCAGACUUCGGUCUGGUUGAGUGGCGUCCGGGUGCGUGACACGUCGGUGACCUACCCAUUUGUGGGGAAUACCCUGCCGAAAGGUGGGCUAAUACCGCAUACGAUCCCUUCGUCGCAGAAGGGAUGAAAGCUCGCAAGGGCGCUGAUGGAGGGGCCGGCGGCCUAUCAGCUAGUUGGUGGGGUAAAGGCCUACCAAGGCAACGACG